This 465-nucleotide small RNA is filed under the name Pongo abelii (Sumatran orangutan). RNAcentral's name for it is "processed transcript". Lineage: Eukaryota; Metazoa; Chordata; Mammalia; Primates; Hominidae. The record is from RNAcentral.
AAUAGCCCUAUUCUGGCUAUGGCUGGGGGACACGUGGAGUUACAGUGCCAGCUGUUCCCCAAUAUCAGUGCCGAGGACAUGGAGCUGAGGUGGUACAGGUGCCAGCCCUCCCUGGUUGUGCACGUGCACAAGAGAGGGAUGGACAUGGAUGGAGAGCAAAAGUGGCAGUACAGAGGAAGGACCACCUUCGUGAGUGACCAUGUGGCCAGGGGCAAGGCCACGGUGAGGAUUCACAGGGUCAUCGCCUUUGACAACGGGACAUACUGCUGCCGCUUCAAGGAUGGUGUAAAGUUCGGCGAGGCCAUUGUGCAGGUGAAGGCAGGGCUGGGCACGGAGCCCAGAAUCCAGGUGAUGGACCAGCAGGAUGGAGUCAGGCCGGAGUGCACGUCAGCAGGCUGCUUCCCCAAGCCCUGGGUGGAACGGAGAGACUUCAGAGGCCAGGCUAGGCCUGCUGUGACCAAUCUG